AGAGUUUGAUCAUGGCUCAGAACGAACGCUGGCGGCAUGCCUAACACAUGCAAGUCGAACGAGGCCUUCGGGUCUAGUGGCGCACGGGUGCGUAACGCGUGGGAAUCUGCCCUUGGGUUCGGAAUAACAGUUAGAAAUGACUGCUAAUACCGGAUGAUGUCUUCGGACCAAAGAUUUAUCGCCCAGGGAUGAGCCCGCGUAGGAUUAGGUAGUUGGUGGGGUAAUGGCCCACCAAGCCGACGAUCCUUAGCUGGUCUGAGAGGAUGAUCAGCCACACUGGGACUGAGACACGGCCCAGACUCCUACGGGAGGCAGCAGUGGGGAAUAUUGGACAAUGGGCGCAAGCCUGAUCCAGCAAUGCCGCGUGAGUGAUGAAGGCCUUAGGGUUGUAAAGCUCUUUUACCAGGGAUGAUAAUGACAGUACCUGGAGAAUAAGCUCCGGCUAACUCCGUGCCAGCAGCCGCGGUAAUAC
This 472-nucleotide ribosomal RNA is filed under the name uncultured bacterium. RNAcentral describes it as "bacterial SSU rRNA". It matches the Rfam family "Bacterial small subunit ribosomal RNA", at positions 8 to 526 of the family's 1533-position model. The record is from RNAcentral.